RNAcentral lists this ribosomal RNA (174 nucleotides) under uncultured Wickerhamomyces. Its description in RNAcentral is "partial 26S ribosomal RNA". It matches the Rfam family "Eukaryotic large subunit ribosomal RNA", at positions 104 to 266 of the family's 3401-position model. Lineage: Eukaryota; Fungi; Ascomycota; Saccharomycetes; Phaffomycetales; Phaffomycetaceae. The record is from RNAcentral.
AGUGAGCGGCAAAGCUCAAUUUGAAAUCUGGCACCUUCGGUGUUCGAGUUGUAAUUUGAAGAUGGUAUCCUUGGGUUUGGCUCUUGUCUAUGUUCCUUGGAACAGGACGUCAUAGAGGGUGAGAAUCCCGUCUGAUGAGAUGCCCAUUCCUAUGUAAGGUGCUAUCCAAAAGUC